Cherax quadricarinatus is the source of this 551-nucleotide non-coding RNA. Lineage: Eukaryota; Metazoa; Arthropoda; Malacostraca; Decapoda; Parastacidae. The record is from RefSeq and is a predicted model, not a curated record.
UAUUUUGAGGAAAAAAAAAAUUAAAAAAGUGGGAGGUAUGGUUGUUCAGACACCCAGGAACCACUAGCGUGUUACCGCCCACUCUUCCAUCUAGUGGGCAGAGGCUAAACUUCAGUUCCUAGCGUCUGAGUUGCUUUAAUUUCAAUUCCUGGUAGUAUUAACCUUACCUGGUGUGGGUUGAAGUUUGAAGAAUAACUUCACCUCCACUCUUCUCAUGAUCAGCUCUGCUGCUGACCUGGUCAACCAGGGUAGACGCUAGUUAAUUGGAGCAAGAUCCCUGUCUACAGGACGUAGUGGGACAUUACGACUCCUCACCUCUAAAAUCUGAAUUGUGGUGAUACAACCAAGUAGUGACAGGAUUUUCAGAACAUGGGACGAACACCGCCACCCAGGAUAACCAACACCAUUUCUUCUAAAACAUCAUCAGAAGACCAUCCUGGGCAUAAGAUUCUCAUGUCCCAACAUCCUACUGGAACCACAGCGGCCAAUAUUUAUUUUAUUUAUUUUUAAUUAAAAUCCUUAGAAAAACAUAAUUAUUAUCCAUCAAGUUA